Molecule: ribosomal RNA, 305 nt
Filed under: uncultured bacterium
Lineage: Bacteria
Description: bacterial SSU rRNA
Rfam family: Bacterial small subunit ribosomal RNA
Source: RNAcentral
UAUGCCCUACGGGAGGCAGCAGUGAGGAAUAUUGGUCAAUGGGCUUACGCCUGAACCAGCCAAGUCGCGUGAGGGAAGACUGCCCUAUGGGUUGUAAACCUCUUUUGUCAGGGAGCAAUUGGCGCUACGUGUAGCGUUAUCGAGAGUACCUGAAGAAAAAGCAUCGGCUAACUACGUGCCAGCAGCCGCGGUAAUACGUAGGUGGCAAGCGUUGUCCGGAUUUACUGGGUGUAAAGGGCGUGCAGCCGGGACGACAAGUCAGAUGUGAAAUCCCGCGGCUCAACCGCGGAACUGCAUUUGAAACU